RNAcentral lists this ribosomal RNA (253 nucleotides) under uncultured bacterium. RNAcentral describes it as "partial 16S ribosomal RNA". It matches the Rfam family "Bacterial small subunit ribosomal RNA", at positions 524 to 776 of the family's 1533-position model. The record is from RNAcentral.
UACGUAGGGGGCUAGCGUUGUCCGGAAUCAUUGGGCGUAAAGCGCGUGUAGGCGGUCCGGUAAGUCCGCUGUGAAAGUCGGGGGCUCAACCCUCGGAUGCCGGUGGAUACUGUCGGGCUUGAGUACGGAAGAGGCGAGUGGAAUUCCUGGUGUAGCGGUGAAAUGCGCAGAUAUCAGGAGGAACACCAAUUGCGAAGGCAGCUCGCUGGGACGUUACUGACGCUGAGACGCGAAAGCCAGGGGAGCUAACGGG